Molecule: long non-coding RNA, 689 nt
Filed under: Homo sapiens (human)
Lineage: Eukaryota; Metazoa; Chordata; Mammalia; Primates; Hominidae
Description: HSALNT0063997
Source: RNAcentral
AAAACAGAUUGACAACCAAAACAAUGAGCCCAAUUUUGGAGGAAAACACUUCUAUUAUUUAACUUAAGUUUUACUAAGUAUAUUUUGGAAAUAACCUAUACGAAAUAAAAUAUUCAAGUAAGAAAUUCCCUAGAUGUAUGCAAUUAUAUUAAUUUUUUUCAUGAGGUUAAGGUUAUUUAUUUUUUAUGGAUGCAUAAUAGAUGUACAUAGUUUUAGGGUAUGUGUGAUAAUUUAAUACAUUCAUAUAAUCUGUAACGAUCAAAUCAGUGUACUUGGGAUAUCCACAUCUUAAACAUUUGUCUUUUCUUCAUGCUAGAACCAUUCCAAUUCUCUUCUACCUAUUUUGAAAUACAGUACAAGCUAUAGUCAUCCUACUGAAGAUCUUAAAUCCUUUGAAAGAAUAAUUACCUUUUUGAACAGAGAACCAAUUUCAAAAUAGUGUGCACACACUUCAACUUUAGUGGAGCAUGCAAAAUAAUUAACUCUCUCGAAGAUCUGCAGUAUAUGAUAAAAUAUAUAAAGAUGCAUAUAUCAGGAGGCUGAGGCAGAAGAAUCGUUUGAGACAAGGAGUUUGAGACCAGUGUGGGCAGCAUAGCAAGACCCCAUCUCAUUCAUACAUAUAUAUACAUACAUAAAAUUCUUUAAAAAGAUGCAUAUAUCUAAUUAUAAAACAGUUCCUUUUAGUUAUA